This 203-nucleotide unclassified non-coding RNA is filed under the name soil metagenome. RNAcentral describes it as "partial contains 5.8S ribosomal RNA, internal transcribed spacer 2, and large subunit ribosomal RNA". The record is from RNAcentral.
AACCUUAUGGACCUGCGGGCGUAUACCUGCGGAGGGAUCAUUACCUAGAGUUGUAGGCUUUGCCUGCUAUCUCUUACCCAUGUCUUUUGAGUACCUUACGUUUCCUCGGUGGGUUCGCCCUCCGAUUGGACAAACUUAAACCCUUUGCAGUUGAAAUCAGCGUCUGAAAAAACUUAAUAGUUACAACUUUUAACAAUGGAUCU